GAUGAAGAACGUAGCGAAAUGCGAUAAGUAAUGUGAAUUGCAGAAUUCAGUGAAUCAUCGAAUCUUUGAACGCACAUUGCGCCCGCUAGUAUUCUGGCGGGCAUGCCUGUCCGAGCGUCAUUUCAACCCUUAAGCUUAGCUUAGUAUUGGGAAUCUGCUUAACCGCAGCUCCUUAAAUCUAGUUGGCAGAGCACAGCUGUACUCUGAGCGUAGUAAUUCAUUAUCUCGCUUUCUGAAGACAGUCGUACGAUAGCCACAAACUUGCAUCUUGCAAACUUUUUAAUGGUUGACCUCGGAUCAGGUAGGAAUACCCGCUGAACUUAAGCAUAUCAAUAAGCGGAGGA
Molecule: unclassified non-coding RNA, 344 nt
Filed under: soil metagenome
Description: partial contains 5.8S ribosomal RNA, internal transcribed spacer 2, and large subunit ribosomal RNA
Rfam family: 5.8S ribosomal RNA (bases 1-120)
Source: RNAcentral